GACGAACGCUGGCGGCGUGCUUAACACAUGCAAGUCGAACGGUGAACUCCGCUUGCGGGGGGAUCAGUGGCGAACGGGUGAGUAACACGUGGGCAACCUGCCCUCAGCUCUGGGAUAACUCCAAGAAAUUGGGGCUAAUACCGGAUAUGACCGCUGACCGCAUGGUCUGGUGGUGGAAAGAUUUAUCGGCUGGGGAUGGGCCCGCGGCCUAUCAGCUUGUUGGUGGGGUAGUGGCCUACCAAGGCGACGACGGGUAGCCGGCCUGAGAGGGUGACCGGCCAGACUGGGACUGAGGCACGGCCCAGACUCCUACGGGAGGCAGCAGUGGGGAAUAUUGCGCAAUGGGCGAAAGCCUGACGCAGCGACGCCGCGUGGGGGAUGACGGCCUUCGGGUUGUAAACCUCUUUCAGCAGGGACGAAGCGAAAGUGACGGUACCUGCAGAAGAAGCACCGGCCAACUACGUG
RNAcentral lists this ribosomal RNA (465 nucleotides) under uncultured bacterium. RNAcentral's name for it is "partial 16S ribosomal RNA". It matches the Rfam family "Bacterial small subunit ribosomal RNA", at positions 28 to 507 of the family's 1533-position model. The record is from RNAcentral.